AGAGUUUGAUCCUGGCUCAGCCCGAACGCUUGCGGCGUGCCUAACACAUGCAAGUCGAACGGAGUUAAGCCCUUCGGGACUUAACUUAGUGGCGAACGGGUGAGUAACGCGUGAGAAACCUGCCUUUCAGUGGGGGACAACAGUUGGAACGACUGCUAAUACCGCAUGAUACUUCUUGAGGGCAUCCUUAAGAAGUCAAAGCUUUAUGUGCUGAAAGAUGGUCUCGCGUCUGAUUAGCUAGUUGGUGGGGUAACGGCCCACCAAGGCGACGAUCAGUAGCCGGUCUGAGAGGAUGAACGGCCACAUUGGGACUGAGAUACGGCCCAGACUCCUACGGGAGGCAGCAGUGGGGAAUAUUGGGCAAUGGGGGAAACCCUGACCCAGCAACGCCGCGUGAAGGAAGAAGGCCUUCGGGUUGUAAACUUCUUUUACCAGGGACGAAGAACGUGACGGUACCUGGAGAAAAAGCAACGGCUAACUGCGUGCCAGCAGCCGCGGUAAUACGUAGGUUGCAAGCGUUGUCCGGAUUUACUGGGUGUAAAGGGCGUGUAGGCGGAGCUGCAAGUCAGAUGUGAAAUCCCGGGGCUCAACCCCGGAACUGCAUNUGAAACUGUAGCCCUUGAGUAUCGGAGAGGCAAGCGGAAUUCCUAGUGUAGCGGUGAAAUGCGUAGAUAUUAGGAGGAACACAGUGGCGAAGGCGGCUUGCUGGACGACAACUGACGCUGAGGCGCGAAAGCGUGGGGAGCAAACAGGAUUAGAAACCUUGGUAGUCCAAGCUGUAAACGAUGAAUAGUAGGUGUGGGAGGAGUGACCCCAUCCGUGCCGCAGUUAACACUAUAAGUAUUCCACAUGGGGAGUACGACCGCAAGGUUGACAAUCAAAGGAAUUGACGGGGGCUCGCACAAGCAGUGGAUUAUGUGGUUUAAUUAGACGCAACGCGAAGAACGUCACCAGGAUUAGACAUCCAAAAAACGAAGCAGAGAUGCAUUAGGUGCCCUUCGGGGAAAGAUGAGACAGGUGGUGCAUGGAUAUCGUCAGCUCGUGUCGUGAGAAGGUGGGUUAAGUCCAUCAAAGAGCGCAACCCCUAUUGUUAGUUGUUACGAAAGAGCACUAUAGUGAGACUGCCGUUGACAAAACGGAGGAAGGCGGGGAUGACAUCAAAUCAUCAUGCCCAUUAUAUCAUGGGCUACACACGUAAUACAAUGGCCGUCAACAGAGGGAAGUGAAACCGCGAGGUGGAGCAAAUCCCCAAAAACGGUAUCAGUUCGGAUUACAGGCUACAAAUCGCCUGCAUGAAGAUGGAAUUGCUAGUAAUCGCGGAUCAGCAUGCCGCGGAGAAUACGUUCACCGGGCCUUGUACACACCGCCCGUC
This 1372-nucleotide ribosomal RNA is filed under the name uncultured bacterium. RNAcentral describes it as "bacterial SSU rRNA". It matches the Rfam family "Bacterial small subunit ribosomal RNA". The record is from RNAcentral.